RNAcentral lists this small nucleolar RNA (106 nucleotides) under Prunus dulcis (almond). Its description in RNAcentral is "sRNA ncRNA". It matches the Rfam family "Plant small nucleolar RNA R71". From Rfam's summary of the family: R71 is a member of the C/D box family of snoRNAs containing the C (UGAUGA) and D (CUGA) box motifs. Multiple nearly identical copies of this snoRNA have been identified in Arabidopsis, and it is thought to function as a 2'-O-ribose methylation guide for 18S ribosomal RNA. Lineage: Eukaryota; Viridiplantae; Streptophyta; Magnoliopsida; Rosales; Rosaceae. The record is from Rfam by way of RNAcentral.
AUGCCAUGAUAAGGGCAUUUUUGCAGCAACUCUCUAAAUCUCUCCCAAGCUUCAUAGAAUGGGUCAUGCUCUCCUUGAGUAAAUGCAUGAUAUCUCUUCUAAGCUG